Molecule: long non-coding RNA, 5486 nt
Filed under: Acyrthosiphon pisum (pea aphid)
Lineage: Eukaryota; Metazoa; Arthropoda; Insecta; Hemiptera; Aphididae
Description: uncharacterized LOC115035134
Source: RNAcentral
AUGAAAUUUUGAACAAAAAAAGUGGUUAAGGUUUCGUACACAAAUGAUUUUGGAGAAAAAAACUUAACCGAUGUAAAUCUUAAUAAUCACAAUAAUUAUAACUAUAAUAGUUACGGGUUCGCUAAGGGUGGUCAAUCCACCACUUAACUUUAAGGGACAACUAAUGUGCCAGGUGCACCGUAAAAAUAACUAUACAACGUAACUUUACGGUGUUCUUCUUAGGUGGCACUUAAAUUAACUUAAGUGCCACUUAAACGUCUAUGUAUACGGCCGGUAGAGUCUUAGAAUGUUGAGUUUCGAAGUUGUUGGGACGGGGCUAGAACGGUUAAGCCUGCUUAAAGUGUUCCGCGAACGCGAGUGGUCUUGGACGUGUUUACCGAAGGUGAGUUUGCUUCCGAUUGUAACGCCGAGGUAUUUGGCAUGAUUGGACCAGUUCACUGGAUGAUUAUCGAGUAGUAAUGGUGAGAUUGAUGAAGUAUAUUAGAACGUCCGAAAAGGAUAUCUACAGUUUUGGUCGGGUUUAUUUUGAUUCUCCAGCAAUGAAACCAUGUGGUAACUAGGUUGAGUUGGUGUUGUAAUUGUAUUUCUGCUCGUUUCGGGUUUUUGUCGAAAGUAAAGAACAUUGUGUCUUCAGCGAAUAGAGAGAGAAUUGCUUUACGAGUUGUUGAUAUGUCGUUUAUGUAAGUCGAGUAGAGAGUAGGUGAGAGGCAGGAUCCGUGAAGGACGCCUGCGAGUAUGUGUCGGUGGACGAGAAUAAGUCUUCGAUUUGUGUGAUGAAGGUGCGGCCAGUGAGAAAGGAUUCGAUGAUUUUAACGAUUUCAUUCGGGGUAUUGAGUUGGGAUGGUUUGUAGAGGAGACCUACGUGCCAGACUCGGUCGAAGGCUCUCUCCACGUCAAGAAAGAUGGAAGCGGUGUUUACGUUGUUGUUAAAGUUCUGGCUAAGUUGGUGAGUAAGUUUGGUCAGUUGUAGGGUGGUAGAGUGUUCAGGUCUGAAGGCAAAUUGUUCUGGGCGGAUUUUGUCACGGAGAUUGUUUUGCAGGUGAGUGAGGAUGAUUCGUUCGUAAAUUUUGGAUAGGGAGGAAAGUAGAACGAUUGGUCUGUAUUUUUCGGGUAGUUUGUGGUCUUUGCCUGGUUUGGGAAUGGAAAUUAUAACUGCUUUUUUCCAGGUACGUGGAAAGUAGCAAAUUCUGAGAGAGCCGUUUAAUUUGUGUUAGGGAUAGUAGAAUGUUAUUAGGUAGACAUUUAAGAGCAGUGUUGGUGAUGAUGUCUUCACCAGGGGCUUUCUUUUUGCGGAGGUUGCUUAUGAUUUUUUGGAUUGUGCCAGGAGUUGUGAAUAGGUUGGAUUUAGUGAUUUUAAUGUUUUGUAGUAAGUUGAAGUGUGCAGUUAUUUCAGGAAUCGGGGUUUGGUUGGAAUUGAAGUUUGAGAGAGUCGGCUAUUAGCUUGGUUCGGUCGAUGGCCGGAAAAACUAGGCCGUUAGGGUCAGUAAACGGGUGGGAUGCUGGACGUUUGUGGAGUAGACAUUUGUUUAGUUUGUAUAUGGAACCGUCUUGAUGGUCAAGUGAGUUAAGAAAGAUGUCCCACUGGUCAGUUUUGUGGGUCUCGAGUAAAGUUCUGUUUAGUAAGAUUUUGGCGUUAAGUUGGCGCUUAGUAGUCGGGUCACGGUUUCUCUGCCAUUGACGGCGUAAUUGGUUUUUUUUCGUUAUUUCGAGUUUUAUGUAGUCGGGUAGUAAAAGGGAAGAGUUUUUGUGUUUAGGGGUAAAUACGCUAGCUUCGAUCGCGUGUUGUAGGCUUUUGGUUAGACUGUCAAUCGCCGAAUCAAUUGACUGACUGUUGUUGGUCGGUUAUGCAGUUGGGUUAGAUAAGUUGGAGAGGAUUGUUUUGUAUUUUGUCCAGUUGAUGAAGCGGUUAGUAGUUGGAGGGGACGAUGAUACCGGAGUACAUAAGAUCUUCAGAAGAAUGUGGUUGAGGUCAGAAGAUAGCUCGUUGAUGUUGUUGAUUUGAGUAGGGUAAGGUAAUCGGACGAGAGCGAUAUCGAGUAUGUCGGGUCUGUAUCGAGCGUUUUUCGGGAAGUGUGUGGGGGAUGUGGGAGCAGUAAUGGAUAGUCUGAUUGUUGAACGUGGUCAAAGAGGAUAUACCCGGCAGCGUUUGUUGAGUGGCUAAAACACAAAGGGUGUUUGACGUUGAAAUCACCUGCCGAGAUUUGCCAUUCAGCACUUUUGGUCAACAAGUCUAAGUCAUGAGUCGUGAAUGUGGCGCCGGGUGGUUUGUAUACCACUGAUACAAGUACUUCGUGGCCAUUUUAUUGGAUAAAGACAGAAGAGAUUUGAAUGAGUGUGUUAAGAAUUAUGGGUUGGUGAAUCAUGCGGUGGUGGAUUAGAACAGCCGUGCCACCGUGAGCAGGCGACCCGUGGACGGGUGGCAAAUCGUUCUUAUAUUUGUAAUAGUUAAGAAUGUGAAGUUUGAUAGAAGGGGGUAUACGGGUUUCGUUAAGUAAGAUUAUGUCGGUUUUAAGUAGGAGUGCGAGGAAACGUAGUUCGUUUAGUUUGUGUUUGAUACCGUUGGAGUUCCAAAAUAGUAUUUUUAAGUUAUUCAUUUUGCGGCGAGAGUAUGGGCAGGAAUGUCUUGAUAGUUGUUUCUAUGAGUGAUUUCUGGUCUUGAUUGUUAGAUAGUGCAGUCAAUAGGUUGGUAAGCUUGUUCAGUAUUAACAUCAAGUAAGUUAAGUUAUGGGACUGGGGAAGUUGAAGAAGUGUGCACUGGUUUUGAAGUUGCUGCGGAGUAUGUCAGUGUAGAGUUUUGUAAAGGGUGUUGAGGUGGUGGUGGAGGAGUGGUUAAGAUUGGUUGUAGGGUUUGUUGUUGGACGGAGUUUUGUGUUGGUGUUCGAGAUGUCUGCUGUUUCUGAGCCAAGAAUUGAGGGCAGCCUAGGAAAUUAGCCGUGUGAGGGUCACGACAGUUGCUGCAUGUCGGGGAUUGUUCAGAAGUUUUGGGGCAGACGUUGGCAGCAUGGUUUCCAGCGCAUUUAACACAUCGUUAUCACAGUAAUAUAUGGCUGCAUUUAUUCAGGUGACCCAUCGUGUUAUUACUGGCUCUGGAGGUAAAGGUUAAUCCGGUGCUUCAGUUUUAUAAAGAAGCAUGCGAGAUGGAGCUUUUCUAAAUAUUUUAUUGAUAUUUAAAAUCAGCUGAUCAACAGAUUCAUAUUGGCUUCGUACUUAUUCAGCCACCCUGUGUAGCCCAUGCGCAGUGCAUGCAACGUGUAUCAUUUUGGAAUAUAAAGCAUUUAACGUUUGACCACAUUUCACCAUGUAAGGUGCUGCGUCCGACAAAAAAAAUAAAACAUUGUCAUGUUUUAUACCAUCUGACCAUAAUAUAGAAAGAGAUUUGUCAAAUAGUUUACUAACUAGAAUAAUUAACUUUUUCCAGAUUUUUCAGCUUCCAAAGUACCAAUAAUCACGUUUGCGAUAAUUCGACCUUCAGCAUCGGUCGUUUCGUCGAUCGAUAUACAAAUUUUAUGAUCAGAAAUAUAUCCUCUUAUUUUUUGCAUAGUUUCAAUAAAACAAUCAUCAAUAUAGCCUUUUCUUAAAGUUGUUUCGUAUGGUAUCUCUUUCCCUGUGUAAGAUUCCAAAAAAUUUCGAAAUACUUGGUUCAAUAAUUUAUUCAGUGAAAUGUUAGCCGAUAGCAAUGCUUUACAUAAGUACAUAUUGAAAGUAGAGUUUUUAGUUGUAUUAGUUUGUGUAAUCAUUUGUUGGAUUCUUGUAUUGAACAUUUCCCUCCGUUUAAUCAUUUUCACAUGUUUAACUGUUUGUAUAUGUUAUAUUACACUAGAUCGCCGUUCAUAUUCUACUUUAAUUUCACAUAUUUUGCAAAAAUACAAAAUAGCGAAUACAAAUACGAACACGAGAACGAUUGACGAUAUAUAAAUUGACACGAUAACGAUCGUAGACCGUCGAUCACUGUGUACUGGCAAACAAAAUAAUACUGUAAAAGACAGAUUAAAUAAAAAUAAUAUUGUCUUCAGAGCAAACCUAAAAAUAAAAUGGGUUCCCCGUAACGCUAUUGAUUAUCGUUUCAUCGGUAUUAUUGUUGACAAAAUCAUGUAGAUAAAACUGAUUAAUUUACUGAUAUUGAGGACUGGACCGAUUUUGAAAGACAGUUUUUCAAAACGUUCGUCGGCGUAGUGAUGACAGGUGAUUGCUGGAAAGAAAUGAGUCGUCGCGUCCAGUUACGUAAUGAGAACGUACGUGAAUAUUUUCACGAGAAAGUUUACCUGUGCAAGAGAAUUGGCCUAUCUUUUUACGAAUCCAAAAUACAAGUGUUGGAAGGUCUAUUCUCGAAGGAUCUUAGUAUCUAUUGGGUCGCGAUCAUCGAGAUGAAGACGACUUAUUAAGCGACAUGGUUGAGUAUGAGUUAGGUAUAUCACGUGCUACACGUUUUCGUCAGUCGUCAGUAAACGUUAAGGACAAUGGAGUACAUAGGCCUACACCACGACAGCAGAACGAUACGCCGUCGUCUUUGCCAAUGAAGAAAGAAAGUACGAAAAAUACCACAGAUUGCGAAGCAAAACCAACAGUCCAAUCGUGUUUUAAUUGUGGCUCGAGAACAAAUAUUUCACCUUGAUAUCCUAAGCCAAAAAGAGAAAAGGGGCCUGUUAUGAAUGCGGUUCGACAUCGCACCAAAUAGGAAGUUGUCCAGAACGUACGAGACAGAAUUCCGAGGCAGCGACAUGAAAACAGCCGGGACUGAUAAACAUCGACGUGGCAGACGAUGAUGCACCACCCGUCGACUACCCGAAUCCGUACGAGGUACAAUGCAAUAUCUACGUUCCUGUUGCCGAACACGAAGUUUGUGAGGUAGAGUUCAAUGCGGUAAUCGACACAGUCGUCAAAUGAGCAUCAUGGUUGUCAUAUCUAAGCGCACAAAACUCAUAUUUUGUAUGUCAGUGCAUACUAGACUUACUGGUAGAUAUGAUCCUUUUAAAAAAUAUAAUGAAGAAUUCACUAGGUACGAAGAACCAAAUUUCAAACUCUUCGAAAAACAGAUGAUAACAGAAAAAAAAAUACCUCCCAUAUUGCAGUACAAGGAUAUGUUUCCAAUUCCGGUAUGGGGGAGGAAUAGAGGUGGUAAAAUUAGAAAAAAACAUUAUUAAAAAAAAACAAACAUUUAUAAAACUGAGCGAAAAGUCUAAGGUAAGUAAAAAUGUUGAUUAAUUGUAUAAAACUAAUGCUAAGACAAAUAUUAACAUACAUUUUUUUUUGGAGUAGGCCAUAAAUUCCAUAUCACUUACUAUGAAUGAGUUGUGGAAUUCUGGCCACGUAUUCGUUAACAUUCCAUUGCUCACCACCGUAUUAAACAAAAACAAUACGUACCUAUGCAAAUGUGAAGGGGCAUUUAUUAACCAACAGUCUAGAAUUAGAAUCAUCUAUACUUCAAAAUGCAAAAAAUAAUCCAACUUAUCCUUUAAUUAAUAAAAUUGUCCAAAUUAUUAAAAACG